This 231-nucleotide unclassified non-coding RNA is filed under the name uncultured fungus. Its description in RNAcentral is "sequence contains ITS1, 5.8S rRNA gene". The stretch from base 183 to 231 matches the Rfam family "5.8S ribosomal RNA", at positions 1 to 49 of the family's 154-position model. Lineage: Eukaryota; Fungi. The record is from RNAcentral.
UCUCCGUAGGUGAACCUGCGGAGGGAUCAUUACCGAGUGAGGGCGCCCCGGCGCCCGACCUCCCAACCCUUUGUGAACCAAACUUGUUGCUUCGGGGGCGACCCUGCCGCUUCGGCGGUGCGGCGCCCCCGGAGGCCAUUAAACACUGCAUCAUUGCGUCGGAGUUAAAGUAAAUUAAACAAAACUUUCAACAACGGAUCUCUUGGUUCCAGCAUCGAUGAAGAACGCAGC